RNA transcript from Quercus robur (English oak), 1334 nucleotides. It is a transcript of the gene named alanine aminotransferase 1, mitochondrial-like, with no coding region annotated. The transcript has 7 exons. The record is from RefSeq and is a predicted model, not a curated record. NCBI's taxonomy places the organism in Eukaryota, Viridiplantae, Streptophyta, Magnoliopsida, Fagales, Fagaceae.
UUUCAACCCUUGAAAUAAAGUCCAAAAUUAAAAUACAAAAGGGAAAACUCAUUUUUGUUCACGCUCCACACUCAGAAACCGCUCACACAAUCAGAAAAUUCUCUCAAAAUCGAUCUGAGCUCAUCUCAGAAAACUCAAAGUUCGGAGCUCAUCUCAUCUCAUCUCCGACGGGCUGAUUUGCGGUGGUCAGCUGUCUCAUCUCCGACGACAAGCGAGCCGUUGAUAGACUUAGCACUCUUUGCCACCCCAUUUCCGAUUACAGAUUAUUUAUGGCAGAUAAUGAAGAUCAAUCUCAAAUAGAAAAUCCCAUCAGGAAGGUCAAGGAUUUAGCUGAGGAACAAAAUGAGCAUAAUCUCUACGCAUUCACUCCCAAAGGAAAGUGAGGAAGAUAAUGCCUCUCAAAAUAUCAUAUAUGCUCGUGAUGGUUUUCUUAGCUGAUCCAAAUGAUAUCUUCUUGACAGAUGGAGCAAUCCCAGCUGUGCAUAUGAUGAUGCAAUUACUGAUAAGAUCAGAAAAUGAUGGAAUUCUUUGUCCCAUUCCUCAGUACCCUUCAUACCCUUCUUCAAUUGAUCUCCACUGUGGCACACUGGUUCCUUACUAUCUCAAUGAAGCAACAGGAUGGGGAUUGGAAGUCUCUUCACUUAAGAAGCAAUUGGAGGCUGCCAAGUCCCAAGGCAUCAUAGUUAGGGCUUUGGUUGUUAUAAAUCCCAGAAACCCAACAGGCCAGGUUCUUGGUGAGGAGAAUUAGCGUGACAUUGUGGAAUUCUGUGGGAAAGAAGGUCUUGUGCUACUGGCAGAUGAGAUCGACAAGACUAUUCUGGUGCUCAUACAUAUGAAAGGAUUGAUGUGGAGGGAUCUUUCCAUACUGAACGGUUCAAGCUUGCCAACCACUUGAAUGAAACUCAAAAUAAUCCUAAUAAAUUUCUGCCCAGGACUCUGCCGGGCAGAGCUGACACCACCUCUACCUGUUAAAAUGUAUCUCAAUUAUUCUGUUUAAUUGCUUGAAGUUUGUUUAUGUUGUUUGUCAUUGUGUUUUGGCAGAUUCUGCUACUUCUCUUUAUAUUUGUUCUUGUUUUUUUCAGGGAGGUUGGGUUUCAAGACUGAAAUGGAAGCGGACAGAGGAAUUCAUUAGUACCAAAGAAAACCUUAGUAAAUCUUGGUUGUGUAUAAACUGCACAAUUUAUAAUCAUAUUAAUUUAGGAGACAUUAUUUGUAUAGUCAAUGGAAAAGAGUAGGCAUCGACAUUAUUUGCCUCAAGCACAUGGGAUGAAGUACCGUUUAGUUCUUCAUGAUGUUCUGAAAUUUGAAAGAGUCUGUUAAUAAGUAAAAACUAA